GGGAACAAUGUUCUUUUCAAGAUGCAUGUAUCAUGUAUGCUCAGUAAUUUUGAUCUAACAACUUAUAUUGUGCACUAAAGGCAAUACGAUACAUAGAGGAAAUGGAUAGUACACUCCGAUCUGAAGCCUGCCAAUUUUGUGCUUAUAAAUGCAUCCGUGUAUUUCUGAAUGUGAGAAUGCGAAGCAACUUUGGCCAGUUUUCUAAAUUUUACAAUCAAUGUGAUUCCCAGAUGCAGGUUUCUUUUUCUACAUGAAUAAUAAUUUAAUU
Molecule: long non-coding RNA, 268 nt
Organism: Lolium rigidum
Lineage: Eukaryota; Viridiplantae; Streptophyta; Magnoliopsida; Poales; Poaceae
Exons: 4
Source: RefSeq, a predicted model, not a curated record